UAUUAAUUUACUUUACUCCACUUUCAUAUUAGGCUAAUAUUUCUUUCUUUUUCUUUUUUUUUUACAGGGUGAGCCGCAGCACCAGUUUUGCCUUUAAACUGGAAAUACAAUGGAAAUUCGCGUUCACUUGACUAACCCCCACUGUAAGACUCUGUUAUUAGCCCAACUGAAAUAAAGUUUAAAGCUAAUUCAAGAAUGCAAGUCAUUUUUCUUUUUGCAUUCCAUCACAGAUUUUGGAGGAAUCUAAUGACAGAUCAUAUCCACGCUUAAUGCCAUUUAGCAAUCUGGCAAUUUGAUUUCCCUGCCAGACCAGUUGUUGUUUAUCUGUCAGUGAGAUAACACAGAUUUAGUCAGAUUUGGGUAAGGAAAGGAAAAAGUUAGGUCGUGUUGUUGUUUUAUUUUUCUCUAAUAUCACAUUCGUUUGCUUCCUCCGUUAUAUGAAACUUCAGUGAAGCAACUCCAAGUACCACUUGAAUUGGUCGCUUUGGAAAGCUUCUUGGACUGGAAAUAACCUGUAUUGAAAUGCUGACCGCAUAUUCCUGCUCUAAUCCACUCGCCCGGUCGGCAUUUCGAAGAGGGCCCCUGCAUGCAGAAUAUCCUGAAAGGCUAGCGUCUCCAGAACCAGAUGCUUAAUGUCUUUCUUUCAUGUGUCGUCCCAGCAUGACCCACUGGACUUAGCAGAGCCGAGAAUAAGGUAAAGAAUUUUCAAUUCAUCUCAUUUAGCUCUCUAUUUAAACAUGGUUUUUAUCAUAUCAUUAAAAAGCGUUCCCCAGUCUUUCCUAACGUUGACAUGCGCACGGUUAUUUGUGCACCGCUAAAACCUACAGCGGUGUGAGCGAGCAGUUAGGAGAAGAAUUUCAGGAGCGUGUAUCUCCUUCAACUGGUUCAGGUUCUAGUUUAAACCUCUUUUUUUUGUAGAUUUUUGUAGGUCAUUGCAUGUUUGAUCUGGACGGAAACUGUUACGUGCACACAGCAAUAGUGGAAACAGUCAUCCGUUUUCUGCUCGGCGGAAUCGCGGAGAAGCGCGUGAUCUAUAAGACCUGCGAAAUUCGUGAUGCUGUUUUCAGACUAUUGUUGCAAGUUUUCUUUCGCGGAUCUUCCUAAAUGGACGCUGGUGACGGUGGUCUGUCUCACGUGCCCGAGUAUGAACAUCAUCUUUGCAUCUCCUUCCGCCGCGGAUACGCUGCAUGCGCUCCACUACAAAAAAAAAUCCGGAAAGGGCAAACGCAGCUUGCAGCUUUGUGGGGCCGUCGGGAUGGGGCGCAACUGCCCCCUUUUUAUUUGCUUAGUUGAAAGCUUUCAACUUCCUCUGUUUUGCAUCGCCCAGGACCUUUGCAUAGCCGUAACCUACAGACGUGAUGUGGGGUUUUUGACAAUCCGCUGAGGCACCAUGCACUAAUGUCAAUGCCAGCUCUUGGUGCAGGCGGUGUAAUCAUCACUGUUCAAGCUCAAACCACAAUGAAUGAAUAUGCUGCGUGGACUGAGCUCGUUAUGUACGGGUGAGUAACUCCUGUCGGAUGGGAUAUAUGUCUGCUGUAGAGCUGGACUAGAGGAAUCGAUAGAGAGCGUCUGGAGAACUCCGGUACAGGCGCGGAGUCGCAUCGGCCUGACAGCUACAAGCGGAGUAACGCCAGUGAACCUCAACAGGUAGAGCUGUUCCCAAAACUCAUUACCUGUUAGGAAAAGUAUGCACAAACGUCGCCCGCAUUUAAUUUGACCAGCUUUCCAUAAUGACAUACAAAACAACAUUUAAUGUAUAACCUGUAACCUACCUACUGAAAGAAAAUGCAAUUCAGAGAGAGAGAGAGAGAGAGAGAGAGAGAGAGAGAGAGAGAGAGAGAGAAAUGAUUUACUGUGUAUAAAACGAAAAACAAUAAGCUGGAUAUUAUGUAGACGUAGCUGGCCGUGCACAUAAAUUAAUGUUUUGUUUUUUUCCGUUUCUCAUAUAACCUUUAAACAGACGUUUGUAUGGUCCAUACUUCAAUGGGCUAUUUUAAGAUACAGUGUAUAUCCCUGGUAUUCAAUGAAACUCGUUAUGGUCAGCAUCUAGCUUAUGUUAAAUUCAAGAUAUUAGACUGCGAUGUGCUUGUUUUGCAUUGUAUUUUUUUUUAACGUAAAAAAAUGCUAAGUUGUUUUUAGUAGCCUAUGUUGUGUACAAAUGGAAUAUGAUUUUAUUUUUAGGUUGACAGUUCUAUGGGUGGUCUAUAUGUCUCUGUUUUAUUUGUUAGGGCUCUAGAUGUAAAGCCAUAUCGGGAUUUCUGUGAAGCGACUUUAUUGUGAAAAUGCCCAAUUGGUAAAAGCGCUUUAUGAAAAAAAUAUAAUUGAAUCGAAUUGAAAUUGUUUGUAACCUAGACCGUCUGUUCGGCCUUGUGUAGAUUUUUUGCCUCCAAAAAGCAUCGCUGCCAAAGAUUGUUAACUGUUAGAGCAAGCUUUGACCAUUCUCAUUCUGAAACUGGGCCCCAAGACUCAAAUUACUGAACCAAAUUUGCACUUAACUUUGUUGAAAUUGGAACUUAUCAUCAAAUGCUAAAAACAUAAAUAGCAAGUAUCUUAUGUCUUUUGAGCUUACACAUUUUUUCGUUCUUUCGUUUCUUUCUUUCUUUCUUUCUUUCUUUCUUAUACACUUAAAAAAAUAGAGAAGGAAAGUGAGUAAAGGCAGUCUCUACAAAGUUUUGGUAAGCUCACAAAACAAAAGCUCAUUUAUACUAAUGAACUUCUUUACGCAGUUUUCUGAUAGUUACCUGGCAAAUAAAUCUCUAUCCUGGCUCAACACGAUUUAAUUAUCAUUAGUAUUUUCAUAUAAUUAAACGAUUAAUGAACAGACGCUGUUUGACAAUUAUUACAAUCGGUUACAGGAAAUUUAUCUUAUAGGUAUCUUAUAGGUUAAAUGUAUCUAGCCUAACAGGAACUAGAAUCACUAAUAUGAUGAACUGGUAUAUUUGGACAGUAUUUGACUAUGACGCACUUAAGAUAAGUUGAAAUAAAAUUUAACCCAGGUUAAACAAAUUUGAUACCCAAGGUCUCUCUCUCUCUCUCUCUCUCUCUCUCUCUCUCUCUCUCUCUCUCUCUCUCUCUCCUUUACUUAUAGUAGAGGCCUAUAAGUGGAAGUUCAAAAUUACCUUCGGCUUAAUCAGGCAAAUUCUGCAUAGUCAAUGUAGCAAAUUUCCAUAUUUUAAAUCGUUAAUGUCCAAAGUAGGCUAGUGCUUAUACUCCGUACCUUCGUCAUUAAGUGACUCACCAUUUCAUUACAUGAUCGCGUCACAUACUGCAUAGUGCCCUACGAAAUAAUGUACUUGAGUUCAGGUAAACCCCAUCUAACCCCACCCCUUUCAUGUACUUGAAUUGGCUAAAGUUGAGUCACACACUUGUGAGUGGCAGGGAAAACUAUUAAACAAGCUGAAUUUUAAAAAAUACAUAUAAAAAUAUAUUUUACUAUUUAAAAAAAGGAAAGUUUUUUCAGGACAGUGGUUAAACAACUGGACUAACAACAAGACAGGAAGAAAACGGACAAAAUUUUGUAGUGUAUGGUCUGAGGCCCAGCCUGUGUGUGAUGCCCUGGUGCAUUUGUCUGCUAAUAAGUCACACAGAGGUAAUGGGAAGUUAUUGGGAGCUCGUCUUAAGUUCAUGGUUCAUGGCGAGGUUAAAGAGACUGUUGAUACUAUUGCUUGCUUUCGACGUUAAGUCCUCUUCCUUCCUAAAAGAGGAUGUGCCCUAGUCACCGUGCACUCAUGUUUGUUUUCAUAGGUUUAUGUCAUCAACUCAAACAGGAACACACAAUAACAUCACAACGUCAUAGUUUUUCUCUCUUCUUUUUUGUAAAACCACACAAGGCCUGUCCUCGAACUUUAGUCAAGUCCUUUGUCUUUGUCUAUUUUUAGCACCCUAACCCAGAAUAUGCAGCGUUUGAGAACUGACUACUUUCAUUCAUAGGGAAAACCUCUACAGCACAUAAUAAUUAUAUGUAGAUUUUGACUGGGAAUGGGUUUGUUAAUUCUGACAUUUCUGAUCACCUGUAACAUACCACGCCAAAAUUUUAAUGUCUUGCAUAAUGAUAUGUGUAAUAGAUGAUAUGACCAGCUGC
Molecule: long non-coding RNA, 4081 nt
Organism: Ictalurus punctatus (channel catfish)
Lineage: Eukaryota; Metazoa; Chordata; Actinopteri; Siluriformes; Ictaluridae
Exons: 6
Source: RefSeq, a predicted model, not a curated record